RNAcentral lists this long non-coding RNA (359 nucleotides) under Capsicum annuum. RNAcentral describes it as "long non-coding RNA (CANN_LNC017544)". Lineage: Eukaryota; Viridiplantae; Streptophyta; Magnoliopsida; Solanales; Solanaceae. The record is from RNAcentral.
AGAAAGAAUUGAAGAAAAGGGCAAAGUCAGUGCAUGAUUUGUGGGAAGUCAUGUUUGAGCAUGACAACCUCAUUGAAGAAAACCAACCUAAAGAAGAUGCUGCACCCGUAACACCAACAACGCCUGUGCCUCCUGUAGAUCCAACACCUAAUCCUGUGCCUGUGCCUCCUGUUGACCCAACACCUAACCCUGUGCCUGUUAACCCAACACCUAAUCCUGUGCCUGAUAACAAUGCGCCUGCAGGAUAUCCACGAGCAACUCCCCAAGCGCCUGUGGCAAAAGGAUACGGUGGUGCACCUAUGACACCUAAUCCAUCAGACCCCCAAACAAAUGUGCCUGUAGAGCCAGCUCCUGAGCAG